Molecule: long non-coding RNA, 301 nt
Organism: Onychomys torridus (southern grasshopper mouse)
Lineage: Eukaryota; Metazoa; Chordata; Mammalia; Rodentia; Cricetidae
Exons: 3
Source: RefSeq, a predicted model, not a curated record
CUUCUGUUGGUGAAGGUGUGAACAGCCGUGAAAUGCUUCAUAUGGAAAGGAGCAGGUGAGGCUGGAUGAAAGAUGAAAGACCUUGCUUCUACUCACACUAUUACCCAGGAAGGAAGCUCAGAACUCACAGGAGACAGUGGAGGCUGCUUAUGAGGGAGCCACAGCCCAUUGGAUGAUGCUGCCCACAUUUAAGAUGACAUAUCCCUUCAAUUAACUCUCUCUAGAAAUAUCCUCAUGGACAAAUCCAAAGGAAUGCCUCAGUGCCCUAGGCAUUUCUCAGUCUAAUCAAGUCGACCAUGGA